GCGCCUUCGGCGUCCGAGUUGUAAUCUCGAGAAGUGUUUUCCGUGAUAGACCGCAUACAAGUCUCUUGGAACAGAGCGUCAUAGUGGUGAGAACCCAGUACACGAUGCGGAUGCCUAUUACUUUGUGAUACACUUUCGAAGAGUCGAGUUGUUUGGGAAUGCAGCUCAAAUUGGGUGGUAAAUUCCAUCUAAAGCUAAAUAUUGGCGAGAGACCGAUAGCGAACAAGUACCGUGAGGGAAAGAUGAAAAGCACUUUGGAAAGAGAGUUAACAGUACGUGAAAUUGUUGGAAGGGAAACACAUGCAGUGAUACUUGCUAUUCGGGGCAACUCGAUUGGCAGGCCCGCAUCAGUUUUUCGGGGCGGAAAAUCAUAGAGAGAAGGUAGCAGUCUCGGCUGUGUUAUAGCUCUUUAUUGGAUUCGCCCUGGGGGACUGAGGAACGCAGCGUGCUUUUUGCAUGAGCUUCGGCUUAUCCACGCUUAGGAUGCGGGUUUAUGGCUGUAUAUGACC
This 509-nucleotide ribosomal RNA is filed under the name Sporobolomyces carnicolor. RNAcentral's name for it is "LSU rRNA". It matches the Rfam family "Eukaryotic large subunit ribosomal RNA", at positions 125 to 649 of the family's 3401-position model. The record is from RNAcentral. Lineage: Eukaryota; Fungi; Basidiomycota; Microbotryomycetes; Sporidiobolales; Sporidiobolaceae.